UCUUUCCUUUUGAUAGGAGAGUUUUUAAAACCAGUGUUAUUUUUGUAAGUUUAAGAGAAGUUUGUGUAUUGAAUUUUUAAUAUUAAAGAGCUUUGUUAAACUUAGACUUAAGUUUAGGUCAUUUUGGGGGUUUAGCUCAGUUGGCUAGAGCAUUGGCUUUGCAAGCCGAGGGUCAAGGGUUCGAGUCCCUUAACCUCCAUUGGGCUUAUGUCCUAAAUUGUAAUUAAGUAUGUUUUUAAGCAACUUUAUUAAAGUAAUUGUUGGAAUGUGAAACAGAGGAAGUUAAAAUUUCUGGGUUAAGUUGAGAUCUGUUGAUAUUAAGAAGAAUCUCUAGAAGCAAAAGCAAGCUUUCGAUAAAACCCGAAGUUGUUUCGCUAAAGUGCAAGGAUUAAACAGGAUUGUAUUUUCCAGUAGCCUAUUUUAUAAACGAUCUGCAUUUAGUAAAUAGUUUUUAGUUAGGAAAUAAUGUAUAUUGCUAAGUGUGAUGUC
RNAcentral lists this unclassified non-coding RNA (489 nucleotides) under Borreliella burgdorferi (Lyme disease spirochete). RNAcentral describes it as "partial 16S-23S ribosomal RNA intergenic spacer". The stretch from base 126 to 199 matches the Rfam family "tRNA". Lineage: Bacteria; Pseudomonadati; Spirochaetota; Spirochaetia; Spirochaetales; Borreliaceae. The record is from RNAcentral.